Molecule: non-coding RNA, 104 nt
Organism: Brachypodium distachyon (stiff brome)
Lineage: Eukaryota; Viridiplantae; Streptophyta; Magnoliopsida; Poales; Poaceae
Source: Rfam
ACUUAUAUCCCGCUUCUAAGUCAAUCUCUAAAUCCACGAGUCAAAUUCAAUGCUUAUAUUUGACUUGUGGAUUUGGAGAUUGACUUAGAAGCGGGAUUAGGCGG